This 482-nucleotide ribosomal RNA is filed under the name uncultured bacterium. Its description in RNAcentral is "bacterial SSU rRNA". It matches the Rfam family "Bacterial small subunit ribosomal RNA", at positions 29 to 506 of the family's 1533-position model. The record is from RNAcentral.
UUGAACGCUGGCGGAAUGCUUUACACGUGCAAGUCGAGCGGCAGCGCGGGGGCAACCCUGGCGGCGAGCGGCGAACGGGUGAGUAAUACAUCGGAACGUACCCAGUUGUGGGGGAUAGCCCGGCGAAAGCCGGAUUAAUACCGCAUAAGUCCUGAGGGAGAAAGCGGGGGACCGUAAGGCCUCGCGCGAUUGGAGCGGCCGAUGUUCGAUUAGCUAGUUGGUGGGGUAAAGGCCUACCAAGGCGACGAUCGAUAGCUGGUCUGAGAGGACGACCAGCCACACUGGAACUGAGACACGGUCCAGACUCCUACGGGAGGCAGCAGUGGGGAAUUUUGGACAAUGGGGGCAACCCUGAUCCAGCCAUUCCGCGUGAGUGAAGAAGGCCUUCGGGUUGUAAAGCUCUUUCAGCAGGAGCGAAACGGUCGUUUUUAAUACAGACGGCUAAUGACGGUACCUGCAGAAGAAGCACCGGCUAACUACGU